AAAUAUUGGGACAUAUAAAAAAGACAACUCUGUUCCGCAGCGUAGGUGUUGACAUUAUAGUUGCGCAGGCACUUUGUUGACUCUAGAGAACCUCGGGCCAAUCGCACAUCCCUGUGGCAGCGACUUUGCAUGCGGAUGUCAUCCAAAUCAACUUUCAAUGCCAGUUUAACAGGGAAUCAGGGUUCCAUUCCGUACAGGGAUCCUGAGAAACGGCUACCACAUGCAAGGAAGGCAGCAGGCGCGCAAAUGACCCACUCCAGAUGCGGGAAGGUAGUGAU
Molecule: non-coding RNA, 278 nt
Organism: Pelobates cultripes (western spadefoot toad)
Lineage: Eukaryota; Metazoa; Chordata; Amphibia; Anura; Pelobatidae
Source: the annotation of a GenBank genome assembly